CAGAGGGUCGUGACAUAGCGUAGACCAGGGAUGCUUAGGUGAGGAGGUGGAACCCACAAAAUCCCAUUGCUUUUCACACUGCAGGGCUGCCCCGUUAUUUCCUUUGCAGGUUGGUGUGCGUGCGUGUGUGCGUGCGUGCCUGAUACACAUGGAGCCGGGCUGCUUCACACAUCUGGUGAGGUCGUUAGAAGGUCAGAUAAAGAAGAGGGCGGAGCUUGCUAACCAAGCUGUUAGAAGAAAUAAUGGGAGAGAACAUUCCUUCAUUUCAGGAGGACACAGAGCAGGCUAGGUCUGCCGCGAAGACUCCUAUAGAGAGAAGAGUAUUCUUAAACUAGAUUCUGAUGGACGCAACACCAGUUGCAUAAUGGUUAUGACAAUCAGUGCCCGGGUUUUUGACCAGGCAUUUCAUGGUCACCCCCACGCUAAUGGAAAGUUUCUGGAUCUUAUUUUGUUAUAGUGAGUGAUUUGUAGUUUUCAGAACGGAGGCCAGGCCAAACGUAUUCCAAAUGAAAAGAGAAUAGGUGUCAAAUGCUAAACCUUUUAUCUUCGUGUUGGCACUGUUGCCAUCCCCGCCCUCUCCCGACAUCCCCGCCCUUGACCAGCAUCUCUGGCCUUGCCCAGCAUUGUCUAUGUAUUGGCACUCUUGCCAUCCCCGCCCUUUCCCAGCAGAGUCUCACUGUGUCACCCCGGCUGGAGUGCAGUGGCGAGAUCUUGGCUCACUGCAGACUCACUGCAACAUCCACCUCCCGGGUUCCAGUGAUUCUCCUGCUUCAGCCUCCUGGGUAGCUGGGAUUACAGGCACGCGCCACCACACCUGGCUAAUUUUUGUAUUUUUAGUAGUCACAGGGUUUCACCAUGUUGGCCAGGCUGGUCUUAAACUCCUGACUUCAGGUGAUCCACCCUCCUCGUCCUCCCAAAGUGCUGGGAUUACAGGCGUGAGCCACCAUGCUCAGCCCUACUCUUGUAUUUUUUUUUUUUUUUUUUUUUGAGAUGGAGUCAGAGUCUCACCCUGUUGCCCAAGGUGGAGUGUAGCGGCUUGAUCUCAGCUCACUGCAACCUCCCCCUCCCAAGUUCAAGCGAUUCUCUGCCUCAGCCUCCCGAAUAGCUGGGAUUACAGGCAUCCGCUGUCAUGCCUGGCUAAUUUUUGUAUUUUUAGUAGAGACGGGGGUUUCACCAUCUUGACCAAACUGGUCUUGAACUCUUGACCUCGUGAUCCAGCUGCCUCGGCCUCUCAGAGUGUUGGGAUUACAGGCGUGAGCCACCAUGCCUGGCCUCUUGGAAUAUUUAAUAAGCUAAAAAAUUCUUAUACACAGGUAGAUUAAUUAGGUAGCCAGGAGUGGCCCCUGAAAGUAUGUCUGGCAAAACCUAGAACUGCAUCCUAGCCAUCACUGUACCUUCUGCCCUCCCUGCUGUCUCCUCUGCCAGUUACAGUUAAAAGGUUGUGGGUGAGGACGCUGGGCAGAGUCCCAGGCGUCUGCUGUCAGCUCCCCAGCCCGGCCUGCCUGCCGAGCCAUCUGGGCGUCCCACGGUGGAGAGUGUGGUGCUUGUGACGCGGUGGUGCUGGGAGCCAUCCUGGUGGCAGAUGUGGGCUCUCACUGCAAGUCAGUGUAAGUCCCCAGGGACUGUCAGCAGCACGUCCUGCUGCCCCUCUCUCUGCAGAAGCCCUGGUAACCUGCGUUUGGAAAAAUCUCUAAGGAUUUCUGAGGAGCUGUCAGGCCAUGUCCUUGUCCACCCUGUGUGGGGCACGGCUUCGACAUGGCUCUGCUCCCGUCGUGGGCUGAGAAGGAGCAGGUGGGGCUGUGCCUUGGAAAGGAGGCCCUCCCGACAUGCCUUUGUGCGAGGUCCCUGUCCAUGCUGUCUCCAUCCCGGAGCCUUACGGCGAUGGGUGGCCACAGAGCCUAUUCCAAGAGUCUGGUUUAGGGCUGGGUCUUCCCAUCUUCACCUCUGAGUCUUAGGCGAUGCGUGACCACGCAGCCCCUUCCAGGAGUCUGGUUUAGGGCUGGGUCUUCCCAUCUUCACCUCUGAGUCUUAGGCGGUGCAUGACCACGCAGCCCCUUCCCGGAGUCUGGUUUAGGGCUGCGUGCUCAAGAGUCUGGUUUGGGGCUGGGUCUUCCCAUCGCCCUGGAGGAGGCUUUUGUCUCAUCUCAUGAUUCACAUUAAACUCUGUGCCAUGAAGCUU
Molecule: long non-coding RNA, 2179 nt
Filed under: Homo sapiens (human)
Lineage: Eukaryota; Metazoa; Chordata; Mammalia; Primates; Hominidae
Description: non-protein coding lnc-TMEM240-1:1
Source: RNAcentral